UACGUACCGUCCAAACGUUAUUCGGAAUUACUGGGCUUAAAGGGUACGUAGGCGGCGCUGUCAGUCGGGUGUGAAAUCCCACGGCUCAACCGUGGAACUGCGCCCGAUACUGCAGUGCUUGAGGGAGACAGAGGUAAGCGGAACUGAUGGUGGAGCGGUGAAAUGCGUUGAUAUCAUCAGGAACACCAGUGGCGAAAGCGGCUUACUGGGUCUCUUCUGACGCUGAGGUACGAAAGCUAGGGGAGCGAACGGG
RNAcentral lists this ribosomal RNA (253 nucleotides) under uncultured bacterium. RNAcentral's name for it is "partial 16S ribosomal RNA". It matches the Rfam family "Bacterial small subunit ribosomal RNA", at positions 524 to 776 of the family's 1533-position model. The record is from RNAcentral.